Molecule: RNA transcript, 1230 nt
Organism: Mus pahari (shrew mouse)
Lineage: Eukaryota; Metazoa; Chordata; Mammalia; Rodentia; Muridae
Gene name: SWI/SNF-related matrix-associated actin-dependent regulator of chromatin subfamily E member 1 pseudogene
Exons: 1
Source: RefSeq, a predicted model, not a curated record
UCAGCCCGCGGUGUCUCAGAUUCAUUCUUAAGGAACUGAGAAUUUAAUCUUCCAAAAAUGUCAAAAAGACCAUCUUAUGCCCCACCUCCCACCCCAGCUCCUGCAAUACAAAUGCCCAGCACACCAGGGUUUGUGGGAUUACAAUCCAUACAGUCAUCUCGCCUACAACAACUACAGGCUGGGAGGGAACCCGGGCACCAACAGCCGGUCACGACGUCCUCUGGCAUUACAAUUCCAAAGCCUCCAAAGCCACCAGAUAAGCCACUGAUGCCCUACAUGAGGUACAGCCGAAAGGUCUGGGACCAAGUAAAGGCUUCCAACCCUGACCUAAAGCUGUGGGAAUUUGGCAAGAUUAUUGGUGGCGAGAUCUCACUGAUGAAGAGAAGCAAGAAUAUUUAAACGAAUACGAAGCAGAAAGAUAGAGUACAAUGAGCCUAUGAAGGCCUACCACAAUUCCCCUGCGUACCUUGCCUAUAUUAAUGCAAAAAGUCGUGCGGAAGCUGCGUUAGAGGAAGAAAGUAGACAGAGACAGUCUCGCAUGGAGAAAGGAGAACCUUAUAUGGCACACAGCCACUGCCCGUUUCCAGAGAAACCGCCAUCUCAUCAGUGAGAUCCUCAGUGAGAGUGUGGUACCUGAUGUGCGGUCGGUUGUCACAACAGCUAGAAUGCAGGUCCUCAAGCGACAGAUCCAGUCUUUAACGGUUCAUCCGCGGAAACUAGAAGCCGAGCUCCUUCAGAUAGAGGAACGACACCAGGAAAAGAAGAGGAAGUUCCUGGAAAAGCACAGACUCCUUUAACAAUGAACUUAAAAGGUUAUGUGGUCUGGAGGUGGAAGUAGACAUGGAGAAGAUUGCAGCUGAGAUGGCACAGGCAGAGGAACAGGCCCGCAAAAGGCAGGAGGAGAGGGAGAAGGAGGCAGCAGAGCAGGCUGGGCGCAGUCCGAGCAGCAUCGCCCCUGAGGAAGAGCAAGUGGCGAACAAAGCAGAGGAGAAGGAUGAGGAGAACAUCCUGAUGGAGACAGAGGAGACACACCUUGAAGACACGGCAGAGAGCCAGCAGAAUGGUGAAGAAGGCACGUCUACUCCUGAGGACAAGGAGAGUGGGCAGGAGGGGGUUGACAGAAUGGAGGUGGAAGGGACCAGUGACAGAUAGUCUGGCUCAGAGAGCAACAGUGCUACAGUGGAGGAGCUGCCCACAGACCCAGAGCAGGAAGACCAGAAGAAGGAGUAA